AGAAGGAAGGCGGAAUCUACACCUUCCCGGCCCACGGUAGCGACUGCAGAACUGCAGGAGACAAUCUUUUGAGACAAGGCAGUUGCGACGGAGGGAGCACUGGGAGCGGGGGCAGCCUGGCAUACACGCCGCACCUCGGGGAUGUUACUGCGCAUGGAACGGCUGCUUGGGGGAGACUAUUGCUCAGAAGAAAAGAUGUUUGGUUUUCACAAGCCAAAGAUGUACCGGAGUAUAGAGGGCUGCUGUAUUUGCAGAGCUAAAUCCUCCAGUUCUCGAUUCACUGACAGUAAAUGCUAUGAAAAGGACUUCCAGAGCUGUUGUGGGUUGCAUGAGAUGCCUUCAGGAGACAUCUGCAAUGCCUGUGUCCUGCUUGUGAAAAGAUGGAAGAAGUUGCCAGCAGGAUCCAAAAAAAACUGGAAUCAUAUGGUAGAUGCGAGGGCUGGUCCCAGUCUAAAGACUACAUUGAAACCAAAGAAAGUAAAAACUCUAUCUGGGAACAGGAUAAAAAGCAACCAGAUCAGUAAACUGCAGAAGGAAUUGAAACGUCACAAUUCUGAUGCUCACAGUACCACCUCAAGUGCCUCCCCAGCUCAAUCUCCUUGGUACAGUAACCAGUCGGAUAAUGGCUCAGAUACGGAGAUGGCUUCUGGUUCUAAUAGAACACCAGUUUUUUCCUUUUUAGAUCUCACAUACUGGAAAAAACAGAAAAUAUGUUGUGGGAUCAUCUAUAAAGGACGUUUUGGGGAAGUCCUCAUCGACACACAUCUAUUCAAGCCUUGUUGCAGCAGUAAGAAGGCGGCUACUAAGAAGUCAGAGGAGCAGGGGCCAGAGCCUCUGCCGAUCUCCACCCAGGAGUGGUGACUGAGGUUUUUACAUAGAAGGGGAACAAAA
Molecule: RNA transcript, 891 nt
Organism: Carlito syrichta (Philippine tarsier)
Lineage: Eukaryota; Metazoa; Chordata; Mammalia; Primates; Tarsiidae
Gene name: protein FAM60A pseudogene
Exons: 1
Source: RefSeq, a predicted model, not a curated record